This 406-nucleotide ribosomal RNA is filed under the name uncultured bacterium. RNAcentral describes it as "partial 16S ribosomal RNA". It matches the Rfam family "Bacterial small subunit ribosomal RNA", at positions 30 to 526 of the family's 1533-position model. The record is from RNAcentral.
AUUGAACGCUGGCGGCAGGCCUAACACAUGCAAGUCGAACGAGUGGCGGACGGGUGAGUAAUAUCUGUGGAACUGUCCGAUGGAGAGGGGUAAAUACUGGAAACGGUAGCGAAUACCGCAUAUCAUCGGAUGUGCCCCGAUGGGAUUAGCUAGUAGUGGGGGUAACGGCUCACCUAGGCGACGAUCCCUAGCUGGUCUGAGAGGAUGACCAGCCACACUGGAACUGAGACACGGUCCAGACUCCUACGGGAGGCAGCAGGGGGGAAUAUUGCACAAUGGGCGCAACCCUGAUGCAGCCAUGCCGCGUGUAGGAUGAAGGUCUUCGGAUUGUAAACUGCUUUUGUCAGGGAAGCGUUACCUGCAGAAUAAGCACCGGCUAACUACGUGCCAGCAGCCGCGGUAAUAC